GACAAACGGAUCAAGUUAAGAUUUGUUCAGUAAAAAAGGAGGUUAAGAAAAUAAAUUUAAGAAAACCUGUUUUUUCUAAAGAAGUGAAAUUUGUACAGGGAUGGUUGGUCUGUUGUUUUCUUAUUUCUGAUGCCUCGAAAGUUUGAUAUAAGACCGGGAUUAGAUACCCCGUUAUUUUCCCUGUAAACUUUGAUUGUAAAUAAUUUACUAGGGUAUUACGGACUGCAGUAAACCAGUGAAUUAUGGUUUGGUGUGAUUGUUUAAAACUCAAAAAACUUGGCGGUGUCUUAUUUCUUUCCGGGGGAACCUGUUCUGUAAUCGAUGAUCCACGAUUUAACUUACCUAGUCUUGAAUAUUAAUUAUUUACUAGUAAUUAAUACAGCUUGUAUACCGUCGUCGUCAGAUUACCUUUAAGAGUAGAAGUAGUUGUCAGAAGGAGUAGAUUCUGAUUUACAGUUGUGUAGUGACGUUUACGAUUCUUGAUGUCAGAUCAAGGUGCAGCUUAUGACGAGGGAGAAAUGGGUUACAAUAAUUAUUUCUUAAACGGAUUUUGUUUUGUGAAAGAUGAAUGAAGGUGGACUCGGGAGUAAUACAUGAAUUAGAGAGUCAGUGUGAAGUGUGGUGCUAAGGCGCGU
This 635-nucleotide ribosomal RNA is filed under the name Calliostomatidae sp. SW-2012. RNAcentral describes it as "partial 12S ribosomal RNA". It matches the Rfam family "Bacterial small subunit ribosomal RNA", at positions 524 to 1384 of the family's 1533-position model. The record is from RNAcentral. Lineage: Eukaryota; Metazoa; Mollusca; Gastropoda; Trochida; Calliostomatidae.